AGAGUUUGAUCAUGGCUCAGGACGAACGCUGGCGGCGUGCCUAAUACAUGCAAGUCGAGCGGACGUUUUAUUGGUGCUUGCACCGAUUUAACGUUAGCGGCGGACGGGUGAGUAACACGUGGGCAACCUGCCCUGUAGAUUGGGAUAACUCCGGGAAACCGGGGCUAAUACCGAAUAAUACUUUUUAACUCAUGUUAGAAAGUUGAAAGAUGGUUUACGCUAUCACUACAGGAUGGGCCCGCGGCGCAUUAGCUAGUUGGUGAGGUAACGGCUCACCAAGGCGACGAUGCGUAGCCGACCUGAGAGGGUGAUCGGCCACACUGGGACUGAGACACGGCCCAGACUCCUACGGGAGGCAGCAGUAGGGAAUCUUCCACAAUGGGCGAAAGCCUGAUGGAGCAACGCCGCGUGAGUGAAGAAGGAUUUCGGUUCGUAAAACUCUGUUGUAAGGGAAGAACAAGUAGCGUAGUAACUGGCGCUACCUUGACGGUACCUUAUUAGAAAGCCACGGCUAACUACGUGCCAGCAGCCGCGGUAAUACGUAGGUGGCAAGCGUUGUCCGGAAUUAUUGGGCGUAAAGCGCGCGCAGGCGGUCCUUUAAGUCUGAUGUGAAAGCCCACGGCUCAACCGUGGAGGGUCAUUGGAAACUGGGGGACUUGAGUGCAGAAGAGGAAAGUGGAAUUCCAAGUGUAGCGGUGAAAUGCGUAGAGAUUUGGAGGAACACCAGUGGCGAAGGCGACUUUCUGGUCUGUAACUGACGCUGAGGCGCGAAAGCGUGGGGAGCAAACAGGAUUAGAUACCCUAGUAGUCC
This 811-nucleotide ribosomal RNA is filed under the name uncultured bacterium. Its description in RNAcentral is "bacterial SSU rRNA". It matches the Rfam family "Bacterial small subunit ribosomal RNA", at positions 8 to 796 of the family's 1533-position model. The record is from RNAcentral.